This is a long non-coding RNA of Neogale vison (American mink), 555 nucleotides long. RefSeq lists it as uncharacterized. The transcript has 3 exons. NCBI's taxonomy places the organism in Eukaryota, Metazoa, Chordata, Mammalia, Carnivora, Mustelidae. The record is from RefSeq and is a predicted model, not a curated record.
CGUACCUGCCACUCCAGCCCGGCCUCUCCGCAAAGGGUGGGAGCCGAGGGGAGCCUGGCAUUUCUCUCGCCCUCACCCCGAGCAUCUGACAGUAAGGUGACAGGUUAUUCAGUGUCCCCAGCGGUCCUAGGAACGUGUUCGUUGGUCCGGUCUCCCUUGGACCUCGCGUGAUGCUCCCGAAGCCCUAUUCAGGCCACAUGUUGAUGGCAGCACCUCUGGAGGAAGCAACUCCAUUUCUGGGCAUUCAUCCUAAGACUAUGAAGAAAGAUGUGUGCGCAAAAUGAGCCGCUGUGGUGGACCCAGAUACGCUAGCCAAACCUUCCUUUGGAGAAAGAGUGUGAUCAGCAGACAGUCACCAGCUGCCAGCGCUUUGAGGUCUGCCUGAGCUGCUGAGUGCAGCCUCCUCUGAGCUCAUGGUCCUCCCAGAGCUGCUCUCAUCCACUGACUGAGUGACUGGAUGUUAGAAAAGUCCAGUCAUUUCUAUCCAAAGCAGAGUACGGUUGAUGGGUCCUUUCCAUAAACAUGAAGCCUGGGUCACAGUUCAACUUCUCCCUU